RNAcentral lists this ribosomal RNA (573 nucleotides) under Triticum aestivum (bread wheat). Its description in RNAcentral is "partial small subunit ribosomal RNA". The record is from RNAcentral. Lineage: Eukaryota; Viridiplantae; Streptophyta; Magnoliopsida; Poales; Poaceae.
GCAAAGUUGAUUUUUAUCAUCCAAUUUGAACAAUUGCAGAAAAAAUCAAUCCUCUCCACUUGAAGGUAGGUGAUGCACACAGAUUUCUUCUUACCUUGCAAGCACCGUUGGAUGAAGAGAGUAGGCAUGAUCAUGGACAAACGCAUGCCGUCUUGCCUCGAUCUUGCAGGAGAGGAGGACAUUGUUUAUUUGCGUAGGGCUGUCGGGGGAUAAUUCGAUCGAGUAGGAGUUGUUACGUGGAAGAGGAGCUAGCAGCUGGGCGAUCGUUUGGCUAGGUGACGAGGAAGAAAUUGAUACAGCCGGCCAUUGUAUGGGAGCACGGCCAGAGAUGGAGUUCGAUACGGUCUGCACCCAAAUCAGAAGGUUUGGCCACCCUUAACAAUAUCCUCAUCGGAUAUAACUUGGGGAAGGCGAAGGCGUACCCCCUACUAUAUAAGCUCGGCCACCCACGCCCCAAACAAAUCACAACCAACCUUCCUCAAGUCGUUUGUUCCCCCGAGCAAUCGAGUUGUGUUCCUGGCGAUCGAUCGAUCCAUCUUGCUGAGCAUCAUGGUUUCCGCCGACGUGGCCCAC